GCAGUCGAGCGGUAGCACAGAGAGCUUGCUCUCGGGUGACGAGCGGCGGACGGGUGAGUAAUGUCUGGGAAACUGCCUGAUGGAGGGGGAUAACUACUGGAAACGGUAGCUAAUACCGCAUAACGUCGCAAGACCAAAGUGGGGGACCUUCGGGCCUCAUGCCAUCAGAUGUGCCCAGAUGGGAUUAGCUAGUAGGUGGGGUAACGGCUCACCUAGGCGACGAUCCCUAGCUGGUCUGAGAGGAUGACCAGCCACACUGGAACUGAGACACGGUCCAGACUCCUACGGGAGGCAGCAGUGGGGAAUAUUGCACAAUGGGCGCAAGCCUGAUGCAGCCAUGCCGCGUGUGUGAAGAAGGCCUUCGGGUUGUAAAGCACUUUCAGCGGGGAGGAAGGCGGUGAGGUUAAUAACCUUGUCGAUUGACGUUACCCGCAGAAGAAGCACCGGCUAACUCCGUGCCAGCAGCCGCGGUAAUACGGAGGGUGCAAGCGUUAAUCGGAAUUACUGGGCGUAAAGCGCACGCAGGCGGUCUGUCAAGUCGGAUGUGAAAUCCCCGGGCUCAACCUGGGAACUGCAUUCGAAACUGGCAGGCUAGAGUCUUGUAGAGGGGGGUAGAAUUCCAGGUGUAGCGGUGAAAUGCGUAGAGAUCUGGAGGAAUACCGGUGGCGAAGGCGGCCCCCUGGACAAAGACUGACGCUCAGGUGCGAAAGCGUGGGGAGCAAACAGGAUUAGAUACCCUGGUAGUCCACGCCGUAAACGAUGUCGAUUUGGAGGUUGUGCCCUUGAGGCGUGGCUUCCGGAGCUAACGCGUUAAAUCGACCGCCUGGGGAGUACGGCCGCAAGGUUAAAACUCAAAUGAAUUGACGGGGGCCCGCACAAGCGGUGGAGCAUGUGGUUUAAUUCGAUGCAACGCGAAGAACCUUACCUGGUCUUGACAUCCACAGAACUUUCCAGAGAUGGAUUGGUGCCUUCGGGAACUGUGAGACAGGUGCUGCAUGGCUGUCGUCAGCUCGUGUUGUGAAAUGUUGGGUUAAGUCCCGCAACGAGCGCAACCCUUAUCCUUUGUUGCCAGCGGUUCGGCCGGGAACUCAAAGGAGACUGCCAGUGAUAAACUGGAGGAAGGUGGGGAUGACGUCAAGUCAUCAUGGCCCUUACGACCAGGGCUACACACGUGCUACAAUGGCAUAUACAAAGAGAAGCGACCUCGCGAGAGCAAGCGGACCUCAUAAAGUAUGUCGUAGUCCGGAUUGGAGUCUGCAACUCGACUCCAUGAAGUCGGAAUCGCUAGUAAUCGUAGAUCAGAAUGCUACGGUGAAUACGUUCCCGGGCCUUGUACACACCGCCCGUCACACCAUGGGAGUGGGUUGCAAAAGAAGUAGGUAGCUUAACCUUCGGGAGGGCGCUA
RNAcentral lists this ribosomal RNA (1405 nucleotides) under bacterium. RNAcentral's name for it is "bacterial SSU rRNA". It matches the Rfam family "Bacterial small subunit ribosomal RNA". The record is from RNAcentral.